UACGGGGGGGGCAAGCGUUGUUCGGAAUUACUGGGCGUAAAGGGCUCGUAGGCGGCCAACUAAGUCAGACGUGAAAUCCCUCGGCUUAACCGGGGAACUGCGUCUGAUACUGGAUGGCUUGAGUUUGGGAGAGGGAUGCGGAAUUCCAGGUGUAGCGGUGAAAUGCGUAGAUAUCUGGAGGAACACCGGUGGCGAAGGCGGCAUCCUGGACCAACGCUGACGCUGAGUGAGCGAAAGCCAGGGGAGCAAACGGG
RNAcentral lists this ribosomal RNA (254 nucleotides) under uncultured bacterium. RNAcentral's name for it is "partial 16S ribosomal RNA". It matches the Rfam family "Bacterial small subunit ribosomal RNA", at positions 524 to 776 of the family's 1533-position model. The record is from RNAcentral.